UAGCUACUCCCUCGGUUCUGAAUUACUUGUCUUGGAUUUGUCUAGAUACAUAUGUAUCUAGACUCAUUUUAGUGCUAGAUACCUCCGUAUCUAGACAAAUCUAAGACAAGUAAUUCGGAACGGAGGGAGUAGUAA
Non-coding RNA from Triticum urartu, 135 nucleotides. NCBI's taxonomy places the organism in Eukaryota, Viridiplantae, Streptophyta, Magnoliopsida, Poales, Poaceae. The record is from Rfam.